This 567-nucleotide long non-coding RNA is filed under the name Homo sapiens (human). Its description in RNAcentral is "LARGE1 antisense RNA 2 (LARGE1-AS2)". The record is from RNAcentral. Lineage: Eukaryota; Metazoa; Chordata; Mammalia; Primates; Hominidae.
AUUAAGAAGGGAGGUAGGAGGAGAGCAUGGAUAUGACCAAACUCAAACUUAUUUCUUGGGAUUGUGAGUUUGCUGCCCCCUAACAGUGCUGGGAACAUAAUCCCUCACGAGGAGCAGAAACAUCUUGCAGUUUAUGUCCGUUUUUAUCCAUUGAUCUCCUGCUGUCGAUGUCUGACUUUUCGCUUUGUCUGUUUUAUCAGUGGGAGCUGAUGUCAACUCUUCAGAAAUGUCAAGGUUCUGCAAUUCUCAUAGAUUCCCAGGAGCUCGAAGUUCCCAAGUACGUCUUCCAGGGAUGAGCGGCACUCCAGACUCCCACGCCAUCCAGGAUACCUAGGGCCACCUGGAACUCCAGGAGACAUUGAGAAGUCCUUCCCCACUCAAGUCUGCCUUUGCAGUGAAGCUGAGGGAUCCCAUCCCAGGCCCCUCCCAGCCCGUUGUCUUCAAGGAAGUGUUGCGUAAUCAUCAGGCCACUUCAAUCUUACCAAGGGGAUGUUCCCCUGCAUGUACCACCUCAAUCUUACCACAGGGAUGUUCACCUGGCACGUACCACCUUAAUCUUACCACGGG